UACAGAGGUGGCAAGCGUUGUUCGGAAUUACUGGGCGUAAAGGGCGCGUAGGCGGCCCGUCAAGUCCCGUGUGAAAGCCCCCGGCUCAACCGGGGAACGGCGCGGGAAACUAGCAGGCUUGAGUUCGGGAGAGGGAAGCGGAAUUCCGGGUGUAGCGGUGAAAUGCGCAGAUAUCCGGAGGAACACCGGUGGCGAAGGCGGCUUCCUGGACCGCCACUGACGCUGAGGCGCGAAAGCUAGGGGAGCAAACGGG
Molecule: ribosomal RNA, 253 nt
Filed under: uncultured bacterium
Lineage: Bacteria
Description: partial 16S ribosomal RNA
Rfam family: Bacterial small subunit ribosomal RNA
Source: RNAcentral